RNAcentral lists this ribosomal RNA (370 nucleotides) under uncultured bacterium. RNAcentral's name for it is "bacterial SSU rRNA". It matches the Rfam family "Bacterial small subunit ribosomal RNA", at positions 524 to 898 of the family's 1533-position model. The record is from RNAcentral.
UACGGAGGAUCCAAGCGUUAUCCGGAAUCAUUGGGUUUAAAGGGUCCGUAGGCGGUUUGGUAAGUCAGUGGUGAAAGCCCGCAGCUCAACUGUGGAACGGCCAUUGAUACUGCCAGACUUGAAUUACAAGGAAGUAACUAGAAUAUGUAGUGUAGCGGUGAAAUGCUUAGAUAUUACAUGGAAUACCAAUUGCGAAGGCAGGUUACUACUUGUGGAUUGACGCUGAUGGACGAAAGCGUGGGGAGCGAACAGGAUUAGAUACCCUGGUAGUCCACGCCGUAAACGAUGGAUACUAGCUGUUGGGGGCAACUUCAGUGGCUAAGCGAAAGUGAUAAGUAUCCCACCUGGGGAGUACGUUCGCAAGAAUGAA